This is a long non-coding RNA of Tachysurus fulvidraco (yellow catfish), 460 nucleotides long. RefSeq lists it as uncharacterized. The transcript is spliced from 3 exons. NCBI's taxonomy places the organism in Eukaryota, Metazoa, Chordata, Actinopteri, Siluriformes, Bagridae. The record is from RefSeq and is a predicted model, not a curated record.
UAUUAUAAAAACGAGCCACUAAACUUAAGGCAGGCAAAUUUGCUGUUAGAGAGACAGAGAAGAUAACCGAGCUUCACACACCUGCUGAGAACAUCAAGAUGAAUCGUCUGUUUCUGGUCCUGGGCUUCGUCCUGAUCAUGGCGCUCUACUCACACGCUAACCAAGCUACAAUAGUUAUUGGAGAAGUCGAGCCUUGCUGUUUCGACUUCUUCCUUGGAAAAAUUCCUCCCAAGCAAAUCCUGCAGAUUAAACCGACAGGCUCACACUGUCCACAGAAAGGCUGCAUUGUUACUACUCCUAGAUUUAGCAAUCUUUGUGUUCGUGAAGUCGACUUCAAAAACUGCAAACCUUAAGGCUUCAACUAAGAUCGCACUGCAACACACACACACCAUUUAUUAUGAUGCUUAAUGUUGUUAUUGUUGCUUAAUGCAGUGCAGAUUCAAAUAAAGCUAUCAUUGCA